This 248-nucleotide long non-coding RNA is filed under the name Homo sapiens (human). RNAcentral describes it as "long non-coding RNA NONHSAT082259.2". Lineage: Eukaryota; Metazoa; Chordata; Mammalia; Primates; Hominidae. The record is from RNAcentral.
AUGUUUCGAUAAAAAAUUUUGAAGAGUUUUUUAACCUCCACAGAACCGCCAAGCCAAAAUUGAAGACAUUAGAGCAGAACAAGAGAGAGAAGGUGAGAAGCUGAUCCGCCUCCACUUCCAGAUGGAACAGAUUGUCUACUGCCAGGACCAGGUAUACAGGGGUGCAUUGCAGAAGGUCAGAGAGAAGGAGCUGGAAGAAGAAAAGAAGAAGAAAUCCUGGGAUUUUGGGGCUUUCCAGUCCAGCUCGG